AUGUGGCCAAUCCGGCCAUGCGAGCGGGAGUGCUUGGCACGGCAUCCUGCCGGUUCAGAACCUCGCCGUCCCCCCCUCGCGCCUACCGGGCCUCGUCAGCGGCCUCCCCCCUGCAGCGGAUCGCCUCCAGCCCCACUUCUUCGACCUGGUCGCACUUGGGCUUCGAUGGUUUCUCGUCAAGACAACCCUGCGACUGAUGGUGUCGUGCCGGCGGUUGUCCCCGGCGUGCCUCCUGCUGUUUUGGAGCCCUUGCGGCCUCUCCUUGCAGCUCAGGCGGAGGCGCUCGGCGCUGAGUUACAGGCCUUGUUCGCUGCUCGUCUUGAGGUGCUGUUCAAGCCUCUUCAAGACUUGGUUGCUGCUGUGGAGAGUUGGACUGCUCAAGUCUCAAGCCUAUGGGAACCUAUGGAAGAUAUCGGGGGCAGCCAAGACCUUGCCAAUGUUGAAUCUGCUCCUCCUGCUGUGGCCGUUGGUGAGGAUUGCAGUGCGCUUGUUGUGGCUGGCUGCUCAGCUGAGUUGAGUGAGAAGGCUCAGUCCGUUGAUGAUCCGCCUGCCUUGGAAAAGGUCAUGCUCGAGGAUGAUCCUCCUGACUUGGCUUCUGUCCUACCCGGGAUGUCGACACUGGAGGAGCCGAAGGUUUCCAGUGCUCCUUGCACCGGGAAGCCUUCAAAGGAGCUGAUCCAGAUGGGUGCAGAUGAGCCUCUUGGGAGAGCCUCCUCUCCGCGGGGGGAGUUCCUCGAAGAGCUUGCUCUCACUGUGUCGAGCUCGCCUCAAGUUUUGCAGGUGGGAGAGGCUGCCCCUUCUCUCUUUGAGCGACGAAGCUGCCGUUUGGACAAGAAAAACAAAGAUUGCGACAUUCCUGUAGCCAAGCGCGCGGAGUAUAGGCGGGCGGAGGCCUUUGGAGAGGUUCCAACACUCAAGAGCAAAGGAAAAGCAUCUGAGGAAGACCUGAAUGAGAAGAUGCAACACUAUCUGCAGAUGUACAAGAAGGAACACACGCCCAAGGUGAUCGAGGCGGUGCACGCAUUAGUUCAGGCCAAUGCUUGA
RNAcentral lists this ribosomal RNA (1044 nucleotides) under Triticum aestivum (bread wheat). Its description in RNAcentral is "partial small subunit ribosomal RNA". The record is from RNAcentral. Lineage: Eukaryota; Viridiplantae; Streptophyta; Magnoliopsida; Poales; Poaceae.